Molecule: ribosomal RNA, 1440 nt
Filed under: Salpingoeca rosetta
Lineage: Eukaryota; Choanoflagellata; Craspedida; Salpingoecidae
Description: SSU rRNA
Rfam family: Eukaryotic small subunit ribosomal RNA
Source: RNAcentral
ACUAAAGUUGUUGCAGUUAAAAAGCUCGUAGUUGGAUUUCAUGCGGGGUUCACGGUGUGUGGGUGGAGAGGGUGUGUUCUACGCGCGCCUUCUUCUGCCUCGCACUGUUUGCGCUCUGCAGUUUUAAUAUUCCCUGGUGGCGCCUUUGGCGCGUGCCCUUGAUUGGGUGUGUGUCAAGUCACGUAGUGGUGGGGCGCUGUUGGGGGCUUUACUUUGAAAAAAUUAGAGUGUUCAAAGCAGGCAGUCAUUUGAUUUGCUUGAAUAGAUUAGCAUGGAACAACGGAAGAGGACUUUUGGGCCUGUACUGUUGGCGUGUGGUGCGGGGGUGUGGAGUGAGAAACCGCAAGGUUUUCUUGUUCCUCCCUCACCACAUCGGGUCUGAAGUAAUGAUUAAUAGGGACGGUUGGGGGCACUGGUAUUUCGUUGUCAGAGGUGAAAUUCUUGGAUUUACGAAAGACCGCCGACUGCGAAAGCAUUUGCCAAGGACGCUUUCAUUGAUCAAGAACGAAAGUUAGGGGAUCGAAGACGAUUAGAUACCGUCGUAGUCUUAACCAUAAACGAUGCCGGCCAGGGCUCGGUGGGCAGCACAAAUCAUUCUGUGAUGGAGGCGCCAUCGGGACCUUUAGGGAAACCAAAGCGUUUGGGUUCCGGGGGGAGUAUGAUCGCAAGAUUGAAACUUAAAGGAAUUGACGGAAGGGCACCACCAGGAGUGGAGCCUGCGGCUUAAUUUGACUCAACACGGGGAAACUCACCAGGUCCAGACAUGGGAAGGAUUGACAGAUUGACAGCUCUUUCUUGAUUCCAAGGGAGGUGGUGCAUGGCCGUCCAGCUUUUGUUGUGAAAUCUCUGUUUGAUUACGGUAAACGGCGAGACCUUGACUUGCUGAUUGGUGUGCGCCUGCGUCAGCAGGCGUUGGAGAUUACGCGCAAGCGUGUCUUUUGAUACACCACUCAGAGGGACACUCGGCGUUGCUAUUGAGCGUAAGCCGAAGGAAGUUUGAGGCGAUAACAGGUCUGUGAUGCCCUUAGAUGUUCUGGGCUGCACGCGCGCUACACUGACGGGGGCAGCGAGUAUGCUUUGGGUGUUUGUGGUGGGGAGCGUGAAAGCGUUUCUCGACGACAGACAUCUAUUCCUGCGCUGGAAGGCGUGGGGACUCUUGUGAAAACCCGUCGUGCUGGGGAUAGAUGCUUGCAAUUAUUCAUCUUGAACGAGGAAUUCCUAGUAAGCGCAAUUCAACAGAUUGCGUUGAUUACGUCCCUGCCCUUUGUACACACCGCCCGUCGCUACUACCGAUUGAAUGGUUUAGUGAGGCCUCGGGAUUGGCGCGUGGGCGCUGGCAACAGCUGCCCAUGUCAUCUUUUGCUGAGAACCUGGUCAAACUUGAUCAUUUAGAGGAAGUAAAAGUCGUAACAAGGUUUCCGUAGGUGAACCUGCGGAAGG